RNAcentral lists this transfer RNA (63 nucleotides) under Kroppcarcinus siderastreicola. RNAcentral's name for it is "tRNA-Asp". Lineage: Eukaryota; Metazoa; Arthropoda; Malacostraca; Decapoda; Cryptochiridae. The record is from RNAcentral.
AAAAAAUUAGUUAAUUUAUAACAUAUACUUGUCAUGUAUAAAUAAUCCAAAGGAUAUUUUUUA